Molecule: ribosomal RNA, 618 nt
Filed under: uncultured bacterium
Lineage: Bacteria
Description: bacterial SSU rRNA
Rfam family: Bacterial small subunit ribosomal RNA
Source: RNAcentral
CAAAGGUGAGCCAGUACGGGAUGGACCCGCGUCUGAUUAGCUAGUUGGUAAGGUAACGGCUUACCAAGGCGACGAUCAGUAGCCGACCUGAGAGGGUGAUCGGCCACAUUGGAACUGAGACACGGUCCAAACUCCUACGGGAGGCAGCAGUGGGGAAUAUUGCACAAUGGGCGAAAGCCUGAUGCAGCAACGCCGCGUGAGUGAUGAAGGCCUUCGGGUCGUAAAACUCUGUCCUCAAGGAAGAUAAUGACGGUACUUGAGGAGGAAGCCCCGGCUAACUACGUGCCAGCAGCCGCGGUAAUACGUAGGGGGCUAGCGUUAUCCGGAUUUACUGGGCGUAAAGGGUGCGUAGGCGGUCUUUCAAGUCAGGAGUGAAAGGCUACGGCUCAACCGUAGUAAGCUCUUGAAACUGGGAGACUUGAGUGCAGGAGAGGAGAGUGGAAUUCCUAGUGUAGCGGUGAAAUGCGUAGAUAUUAGGAGGAACACCAGUUGCGAAGGCGGCUCUCUGGACUGUAACUGACGCUGAGGCACGAAAGCGUGGGGAGCAAACAGGAUUAGAUACCCUGGUAGUCCACGCUGUAAACGAUGAGUACUAGGUGUCGGGGGUUACCCCCUUCG